Molecule: long non-coding RNA, 398 nt
Filed under: Durio zibethinus
Lineage: Eukaryota; Viridiplantae; Streptophyta; Magnoliopsida; Malvales; Malvaceae
Description: long non-coding RNA (DZIB_LNC000283)
Source: RNAcentral
ACCACGAGUCAAAAAAUGAAAAUGACUAUGAUUAAACCAUGAGUCAAAAAAUGAAAAUAAUCCUGAUUAAGCCAUGAGUCAGAAAAUGAAAAUGAGCCAGAUUAAACCACAAGUCAAAAAAUGGAAACAACCAGGAUUAAACCACCAGUCAAAAAAAGAAAAACGAUCAGGAUUAAACCAUGGGUCAGAAAAUGAAAAUGAUCGAGAUUAAACUAUGAGUCAGAAAAUGAAAAUGACUGAGAAUAAACCACGAGUCAUAAAAUGAAAAUGCGAGGGAUUAGACCGCGUCUUAGAUAAUGAAAACAACCAAAAUUAAAUCACGAGUCAGAAAAUGAAAACAACAAGGAUUAAAUCACGAAUCAAAAAAAUGAAAAUGACCAGGAUUAAAUCAUGAGUCG